UACGAAGGGGGCUAGCGUUGUUCGGAAUUAUUGGGCGUAAAGGGCGCGUAGGCGGUCUGUUGAGUCAGAGGUGAAAGCCCAGGGCUCAACCUUGGAAUUGCCUUUGAUACUGGCUGUCUUGAGUUCGGGAGAGGUGAGUGGAAUGCCGAGUGUAGAGGUGAAAUUCGUAGAUAUUCGGCGGAACACCAGUGGCGAAGGCGACUCACUGGCCCGAUACUGACGCUGAGGCGCGAAAGCGUGGGGAGCAAACAGG
This 253-nucleotide ribosomal RNA is filed under the name uncultured bacterium. Its description in RNAcentral is "partial 16S ribosomal RNA". It matches the Rfam family "Bacterial small subunit ribosomal RNA", at positions 524 to 776 of the family's 1533-position model. The record is from RNAcentral.